UAUUUUAUUAAUUAAUUUUGGGGUAUGUUAAAAAUUUUGUUUGCAUGUAUUUAUUUAGUUAUUUUUAUGAGACAGGGUCUCGCUCUGUCACCCAUGCUGGAGUACAUACGGUUGCACGCUCAUGGCUCACUGCAGCCUUGACUUCCCAGGCUCAAGUGAUCCUCCCACCUCAGCCUCCUGAGUAGCUGGGACUACAAGUGCAUGUCACCACAUUUGGCUAAUUUUCAUAUUUUUUGUAGAGACGGGGUUUCGCCACAUUGCCCAGGCUGGUCUCAAACUCCUGGACUCAAGGGAUCUGCCUGCCUCAGCCUCCCGAAGUGCUGAGAUUAUAGGUGUGAACCACCGGGCCCGGCUCCCCAUUUAAUUUUGUUGUUGUUGUUUUUUAGAUGGAGUUUCACUCUUGUCGCCCAAGCUGGAAUGCAAUGGCACGAUCUUGGCUUACGGCCACUUCCACCUCCUGGGUUCAAGCGAUUCUCCUGUCUCAGCCUCCCGAGUAGCUGGGAUUACAGACACACGCCACUAUACCUGGCUAAUUUUUGUAUUUUUAGUAGAAAUGGGGUUUCACCAUGUUGGUCAGGUGGGUCUCAAACUAUUGACCUCAGGUGAUCCACCUGCCUCGGCCUCCCAAAGUGCUGGGAUUAUAGAUGUGAGCCACCAUGUCCAGCCACCCAUUUAAUUUUUUGAGCACAAAAUAUGUACUGAGAGCCACGCAAGAAACAAAUUCGACUUAUUCCAUGCUCUUGAGAGGUCAUGAGGGGAAACAAAAUGAUACAUAAGUAACUCUGAGAGAAUAUGCUGCACAUGCUAAAUCCUGUGCAAGUAAGAUAUAGGAUUUUAGAGGAAGGGAGAAUGACUUCUGAUUGAGCUGACUAGAGAAGGCUUCAGUUUUUGAGUUAGGUGUUACGAGAUUGGGAGACUUUUCUCAGCAUAUCUAACAGAAGAGGGUAUCCGAGGUUCUUUAUACUUGACUCCACACUGGGCUUAUUAAGUGAAUGACAAGGAGUUUGAUUUGUCGAGGGCCGAGGAUAUGUAGUGAAAGGUCAUAGACUAUAAGGCUGGCAAAGAAUGGUGGAGCUGGGGAACGGAAGAUCUAAAUGCCAAGGUAAGCUUGGACAUUAUUUAAUAGAGGCAAUGGGGAGAUACUGAGGAUUUCUGAAGAGGGUUUCUAAGUAGUGCUUUAAAAAGAUCUCUGGGUUGCAGAGGCAAGAAAUAGGAGGAACACCAAUUACAAAGCCCCGACCGAAAGCCGAGUGAGAUUUGAGGGUCAGCCAUGGAAAUGGGAAUGAAGGGACAGAUGUGAGACAUUUCAAAGGAUAGACUGCAGGAAUUCUGGCAAAGAAUGGGUUGGACAGUGAUGAAGAACACAGAAACAGCAUUGAUGCCUACAUCUGGAGCCUGUGUCUUAAUAAUUUUUGAUCAGGGAGACCUACAAUACAUUUUGUAUUGUGCCCCACAAAAUCAUGUCGACAGCCCUAGAUGAUGUCAUGGACAGGUAUGGGGCAUGAGGAGAAAGAGUUGCCAGGGAAAGGCUGGCUCACAUUUUAGACAUGUGGAGCGUUAAGGGUCAGCAAGACAUCAAGGGCGAUGUCAGGCAGGUAACUGGAAAUGCAAACUGGUAGUCUCAGAGUGACGCUGAGUCCAGUGGUGGGGCUUUGGAAAGAACAUGUAUCUCU
Molecule: long non-coding RNA, 1673 nt
Filed under: Homo sapiens (human)
Lineage: Eukaryota; Metazoa; Chordata; Mammalia; Primates; Hominidae
Description: HSALNT0111512
Source: RNAcentral